Molecule: unclassified non-coding RNA, 199 nt
Filed under: Ephemerocybe callina
Lineage: Eukaryota; Fungi; Basidiomycota; Agaricomycetes; Agaricales; Psathyrellaceae
Description: Tulosesus callinus partial internal transcribed spacer 2
Source: RNAcentral
AAUUCUCAACCUCACCAGUUUUGUAAUGAGACUGUGUAAGGCUUGGAUGUGAGGGUUUAUGCAGGCUGCCUCUGGGCGGUCUGCUCCCUUGAAAUGCAUUAGCGAGUUCACUAAGCUCCGUCUAUUGGUGUGAUAAUUAUCUACGCCGUGGAAUGGGUUUAGACUUGCUUCUAACCGUCUGCAAAGACAACUUUUGACA